RNAcentral lists this long non-coding RNA (4882 nucleotides) under Cricetulus griseus (Chinese hamster). RNAcentral describes it as "lncRNA (ENSCGRG00015031164.1)". The record is from RNAcentral. Lineage: Eukaryota; Metazoa; Chordata; Mammalia; Rodentia; Cricetidae.
GGAAAAAGGAAGUGUUGCUCUCUCUUUCCCCUCGGCUCCUGCUCCAGCGGCACGAUGUGAUUCACCAGCAAGGAGGGACGCCAAUAAGGUGUCUGAUAAGAUAAGUCCCAUAAAAUAUAUAGAUGUAUGAUAAUUGAGACUGAGCUAACAGAUGAGAGUCCUAGUCAUUGGCCAAGCAGCUUUGUAACUAAUACAAGUCUCUCUGUGUAUUCAUUUGGGCCUAACUCGGGCGGUUGGCUGGUGUAAAGCUCGCUCGUGGCGGUGGGGCUCAGGCGGCUUUUGGCAAAAAGAUUUAUCAGAACAGGGGUGUCUAUGAGCCCCUUUAUAGAUGAUUUGAGAGUUCGUGGGAGUACCAAGUCUGAUGGCACAUGGGAGAUGGCAAUAGGUGGACCUAUAUGAGUUUGAGGAUUGUACAUACCAAGUUUCAGGCUAGUUAAGACUACAAAAGUCUUGAUAAGUAGCUUAGGCUGUGUUUGCCGUAUGGGGGAUCCCCUUAGGUGGAGUUACAAACAUGCAAAGAAAUUUCACACAUGAGACCCUGCCUCAAUAAACAAAUAAAUGAACAAAUAAGUAAUGUGCAUGGGAGAAUCACAUAAGUUAUAUUCUAAUACUACAGAAUUUUAUGUAAGAAACUUGAACAUUCAUGGAUUUGGGCAUCCAGAUGAGGUACUGGGACUGAUCUUGUGUGAAUACCGAGGAACAAUUCUAUCUUUGUAGUCUCAUUUGAUUUCUAGUUACUUUGUACAAUUGGAAACAUUUAUAUCUGAAUACAUGAAGAAAAGGAUAAUACACACAAUGUGAUCAUGCUUGAUUCUUCUAGAAAUGUGAAAGCCAAUAAAAUGAGUGUGCCUGGAGCAAGAUAUGCUAAACUAAACUUGCUUCCAGCAAAGUUAAAAAAUUUAGGACACAAGAUACAAAUUUUAUAAUAAGAAAAACAUUUGUGUUUAGUUUUGUAAAACAAAAUGUGCUUAAGGAAAAUUAAUUUCACAUUUGUAACACGAAUAUAAGAGGAAACAGAACUAUACUGUUCUUAUCCAGUAUGCUAUUUCGUGAUUAAUAGUAGUAGUGGUGCCACCAGAUCAAAACAAUUGAGUGUCAUUCAGUUAUUUUCCCUCAGAAUAUUACAUAAAAUCAUGAAACUUGUGUUCAAGAAUUACUCAGACAAUGAUAUAGUAAAAGCUGUCCUACAUGGCUUUCUCUAUUUAUUAUUUAACAUUUUAGUCAACUGUUUUUGGAAGUUAGCUUAACAUGGUUAAUUCCUGGCUAGCAUGUAUGUUCAGACUCUUGAGACUAGACAGUCAUCAUGAUAACUUAAUAUAGGCACUGUACCAAGCAUUGUGAGGAGACUUCCAAUUUUCCCUCCCAGGUAUCAAAUAUUAUUAUCUUUUGACCUCUUAUAAUCCCCAUUAUCUGUUAAAUGAAACUCAUACUUCAGUAAACAAGUCUUAAGUGUCCUCAUGAUGUUUUCAUUCCAGUUGAAAGGACUGAUAAAAUACGGAAGACAGUUUUUUUUUCAAACUUAAGACCACUUAGAAACUGGAUCAGAGUGAACAGACACCAACCUGAAGUUUCAAAUGCAACAUAGUAUGUGAUAAAAUUGUACAUUUCAAGUAAAAGGAGAAAGGAUAGUAUGGGGCAUUGAAAGAUGAAUGAGGUUGGGAAGGAAGGAAGUGAAAGUUUUUGAAAAGAGGACAGCAAUAAGAAUGAAGGAUCCAUAUACUAUUUUUUUUCUGAACAAGUAUAGUUUGAUGCCAAGGGCUUAUUGGGCAUUCUGUAGGGACAGCACUCUUUCCUGGUCUCCUGCAACUUUCUGCCCUUCUUAAUGUUGAACGAAUGAGGAAAGCCUGACUUAUAGUGCAUGAGAGUGCUGGCCAUAUUCGUGUAGGGAGACACAUCAAGGGUUGCCUUUACUGGCACUUGCAAUCAAUGCCUGUUGACAGAACUCUUUUUUUUUUAGAGCUGGAAUCCUGGCAGUUCCACAGACCUUGCACUGGUCUCCGUAGGAAGCCUGGCAAAGGACAUAAGAAACUUGCUCCAGCUUAUUCAGAAUGGCAGCUGAUUGAGUCUCACAGAAACCAAACAUCAAAUUGAGCUUGAGGAAUUGGAUUAUGUUAUGUUCAUAUACACCAAGGGACUUCUUCUUCCAGACCAAAUCAAGUAAAAUUGACUGGACAUUCUCUAUUCUCACAACAGUUAGAUAUUAAAAAGUACAAAAAAUUGCUAUUUUGACACACUGGAUAUAGCAUCAAAGGACAAUGAUGCUGAGAGACAAGGUCAGAUGAGCCCUCUUCUACUGAAGUUACAACCUCAAGAAAAUUUCCAGAUGGUGACCUCGAGAGAGAAGACCCUGGAAUGAAAUAUGGAUGGAAAUCCAGGGAUCACAGGGCAAGGAACCAGAGAGGCAGCUGAUAUACAACGAAAAUUCUAUUAUUCUGUGGAGGACCCACUUUGAAUAUCCAGUUAAAAAUAAAUCAGAACAUCUACAAAGAAGCUAAUCAGGAAGGCAAAACGUAUUUAAUGGAACCUGGCCAUACAGGAUGCUGCAACUGGUCAUAAUGAUGUGAAUAAGAUGGCCUUAAAUGAGAGCGUUGUCAGUUCUUCUGCAAAGUCCCUUAACUAUGCUGACCUAACUUGGAGGCUUCCUCUUCUGAGGUUACUCCUCUGGUUCCUCGCUGUUUUGGAUUGCUAAUUAUACUUUCAUUUGUCUGUCCAACCUUUCAACCAGAUUUAGGUAGGUAACUAUCAAACAUGUUCAUCUACCCAGAAUCCCCAGUCAUUUUACCUUGUUCAUUUUACCAUAUUUAUUAGCCUUUGUCUUUUUUUCUUUUAGAACAACAGCAGUAGUAAGUUACUCUCUAGAGUUUAUGACUCUCAGAGCUUUUGACCAGGCUUUCAGAACCAGACCUAAAUUCUUACCUGUGGAAUAGGCUCAAAUUCAAUCAGAAAGUGAUUAGUUGUACUCAUAACCCUUGUGCUACUACUGUACUCAUAGGAACAUUUGCCUGCUCAUUGCUAUCAUGAUGUGCAGGGCUAGCUUCAGGAAUACCAUUGGUGUAUUUUCUCUCUGAAGAGGGCCCUGGGUAUCACUUUUCAUCACUAUGAAAGCUAGUCAGCAGGGAGAAAGUUUUCAGUAAUUGCCAACUUUAUUUCUCUAUGUCCUGCAACUGAAAUAGGUUGUAUUUUCAGAAUAAGAUUUUACCAUCUGAUUCUGAUGCCAAGAGUAGCGGCAAAAGACAUGUCAUUUUGAUGGACUUCUUGAGGGUCUCUCUGAUCAGUAACUUAUAGGCAAGUAUCCCAUGCCUGGUACUGAGAGAUUUUCAUUUAAUAAUUCAUAUCUUCUAGGGGAAUCGUUUUCUACCCUUGCAGGGUAUCUGUGUUUGAGCUCUGUCUAUAGUUUUAAUUGUAUUCUCAAUUAUCUUACAAAGUAGUGGCUUUCCAUAGGGGUUUUUCAUAUAUUCUUAGUUUUGAUUAACCAACCCUGUCCCCUUCUGUUAGUUGUUGAGGGAAACAAUCUGUCUAUUCUCCUCAAUCAUUAAGUAUGUUUUGACUCUCUACUAAAUACUGGACUCUAUCCUAGACACUAGAGGUACAGUAACAUAUAGGACAGCAUUUGUCCACUCUCUCAAGGAGCAUACAUUUUAGUAGACACUCAAAGUCAACAAAUAAGCAAUCAGGAUAUGUAGAACAUGAUAAGAUAAGGUAGGGUCAAAAUUGAGAAUAAUUUUAAGUAGGACAACAGACUACAGAGAGAUAGUAGUACCAGAAUAUUGGCAAGGAUGGUCAGAAAUCCUUUCAGGAGGUAGCAUUUGUAUUCAGAUAUACUUACAACAAUUUCAGGGAAUCUAGGAGAGAAGUUCUGUAUGGUCACCAUGUGCUGAGUACAUUACAAGGUAAAGAUACAAAGGCUAAACUGGAGUCUAUAAAGGGGAUGGGGCAAAAUAAAUGAAAGCUGAGUUUUGAGGUAGAAGACGUGGCCUGGAAUAUGAAUGGAUAUUGGUCUUUGCUUUUACUCUUUUUUGGGGGUAUACAUAAAGCACACAAAUAUUACUUGUUAAGUUACAUGAGCAGAUACAUUUCCCAUCUAAAAUGCAAAAGGCUUCUAAUUUCUUCCUUUCUUUACAAACAGUUGCUAAUAUAAUUCUUUUAAUUUCAGCCAUUCUGAUAGGCAUACAUGUGGAGGUAUUUUAGGGGGUGGGAGAUUUUUACAUAUAUUGUUUGUAUAGCAUACCUACAACUUAAGUACUUGGCAUAUUGUAUUCUCAUAGAUAUUUAUCAUUAUAUAUAUGUAUAUGUAAACAUUCCCCCCCCCCACACACAAUCUACCACCUGGAUUCAAUAUAAUGCCAGCAUACGCUAGACAUCUUUCUUAUCUUCUUCCAGGAGUGAUUAAUCCUUGGCACUUGCCUUUCAUUCUCCACACAGAACUUCUGUCCCAGAUUCUACCCAAUUGUCAUUAGCACACCUCAGUUCAAAUAUCACCCCCUGAGAAGCUUUCUGGGUACACUAGCUAAAAUUUCCCCAACUAUCAUGAUACCCUUUGUCCCUUUGAUUAAUUUUGUUUACUUUUGAACAAAAUAUAAGCAAGCACUGCAUGCAUUCUUUUGGGUUAAGAAGAAGUGUGGCUAUUUCACAAUUUGUCUUACUCUUGAUAGAUUUUGUGUUGUGUCAGCUCUCAAGAUAUUAUGACUAAAGCUGUUAUAAACAUCCUGGUACAUGCCUUUGAUAGAUGUGUGUACUCAGUUAGAACAUAUUUGCUUAUUUAACAGAUGUCAGAAAACAGUUUUUUAAAGUGAUAGUAUCUUAUAUUCUUCUUUAAAAAUGCAAAAAGGGUUCUGAUUUCUUCCCUUCUCUACAAACACUUUCUAUUAUCAUUGUUUCUAAU